Molecule: long non-coding RNA, 1038 nt
Filed under: Nicotiana benthamiana
Lineage: Eukaryota; Viridiplantae; Streptophyta; Magnoliopsida; Solanales; Solanaceae
Description: long non-coding RNA (NBEN_LNC030002)
Source: RNAcentral
AAUUAAAAUACAUUAAUUCAACCAUUCAAGGAACAAAUCAAACAAAGUAAAGCUAACCAAGAUUAAAAUCACAGCAGGUUCACAAUCACAGAUUAAUAAGCGAGGUGAAAAGAGAUGAACCUGAAAAAUAAUCUUGCAGUUAAUACAAUAUUAACAGUCCACGGACAGAAUAUGCAACUACGAGUGGAAUUCAAAAUAGCAAAUCUAGCUCGAACGAAACUAACGGACUGCACCCCGGAUGAAAACUCCAAUAAUUGAACACUAAUUUUAACUCCGCUUCAUUUCGGAAGCCAGGACCAAAAGAACAACCGAAAUUUUCAUUAUGUAUUUUGAGUUUGAAAUAAAAAAUGAUACUAAAAUCAACUGAAAAUCAAAAAUAAAAUCAGAAUCAAACUGUUCUGUCUGAUUUUUUUUUUCUUUUUAAUUCUUGUGUGUUGUGUGGUCAGUACUGAUGACAACCACUGAUUUGCCAGAUUCCAGCGUCUGUCAAGGAGAUGAUGGGAUGGUCGCAACUUUUCAGGUCUUAGGAGAUCCAUCGGAGGUGGGGCUGUGAGGGAGGGCGACGGACUGGUGAGGGAGAUGGAGUGAGAGUCGACUGUUUUCGAAGUCCAGAGGUGGUUUGGUUGGUUUCUAGCUGGGGUGAGGCGUGAGCGAAGCGGUGGCGGCGCUAGUUUGGUGGAGUGACAGCUCGAACUGGUUUAGGAGAAGGCGGAGUUAGUAUUCUUGGUUGUACAGAAGUAAGGGUCGUUGGUCGCCGAUGGGCUGGUUGCUGUUGAAUGGGGUCGCCGGGGGAUAAAGAGGAAAGCUGGCAGCGGUUUUGGGAUGGUCCGGAGGCCACUGCUGUUGUUGUUUUUUAUCUUUUGGGUUUUUUGUUAUUGUGUGUACGAAGAAAGUAGGGGUGGCUCCGGUGGACGAGAAGAUGCGGGAAGCGAGGUUGAGGUGGUUCGGGCAUGUUCGGAGGAGGGGCCCCGAUGCCCCGGUGAGGAGCUGCGAGCGGCUGGAGAUUGUUGGUGGUCGGCGAGGGAGAGGGAGGCNNNN